This 72-nucleotide transfer RNA is filed under the name Urocitellus parryii (Arctic ground squirrel). Its description in RNAcentral is "Spermophilus parryii (Arctic ground squirrel) tRNA". It matches the Rfam family "tRNA". From Rfam's summary of the family: Transfer RNA (tRNA) molecules are approximately 80 nucleotides in length. Their secondary structure includes four short double-helical elements and three loops (D, anti-codon, and T loops). The record is from Rfam by way of RNAcentral. Lineage: Eukaryota; Metazoa; Chordata; Mammalia; Rodentia; Sciuridae. RNAcentral also lists the same sequence under 1 other name.
GAAGAUAUGGCUAAGUGGUAAAGUGUUUGCCUAGCAUACAGGAGGCCUGAGGUUCAAUCCCCAGUACCAUGG